GACCCACGCCGGUCCCAUCUGUCACGUAAGCCAUUGAUUAAACGAACAGUGGAAGCCCCCUCCUAAGGGGAAGGUCGCCCGUUCGAAUCGGGCCGGGGUCACCA
Molecule: transfer RNA, 104 nt
Filed under: Stenotrophomonas maltophilia
Lineage: Bacteria; Pseudomonadati; Pseudomonadota; Gammaproteobacteria; Lysobacterales; Lysobacteraceae
Also listed under: 1 other name
Description: tRNA-Ser
Source: RNAcentral